Dasypus novemcinctus (nine-banded armadillo) is the source of this 123-nucleotide small nucleolar RNA. Lineage: Eukaryota; Metazoa; Chordata; Mammalia; Cingulata; Dasypodidae. The record is from Ensembl.
CUAGCACUUUCACAGGUCCUGCCCUAGGCUGUGGGGCCAGGAUUUGGUAGCUGGUGCUGAGAGAAAACCCUUGGUUGCACCCUUGCCCUGGGACUGUACCAACUGUCAGUCAGUAGGACAGAG